Molecule: non-coding RNA, 30 nt
Filed under: Rattus norvegicus (Norway rat)
Lineage: Eukaryota; Metazoa; Chordata; Mammalia; Rodentia; Muridae
Source: RNAcentral
UUGCUGCUAGGUGACUCUACUGUCAAGUGC